This 1125-nucleotide ribosomal RNA is filed under the name Chrysis ignita. Its description in RNAcentral is "partial 16S ribosomal RNA". The record is from RNAcentral. Lineage: Eukaryota; Metazoa; Arthropoda; Insecta; Hymenoptera; Chrysididae.
AUUUAAAAUUAAUUUAAUUUUUUUAGUUAAAUUUAAAAUUUAAAUAAAGAUAUAGAAAUUAAAGUUUUUUAGUAUUAAUUGGAAAAAAAAGUUAUAAUUUUUUAAUUGUAAGAGUAUUUUGAAAUUAAAAAAAGAAAAUUUUGUUUAUUGUACCUUUUGUAUCAGGGAUUAUUAAAAUUAAAUAUUAAAAUUAAUAUAUCUCGAAUUAAAAAGAGCUAAUUUAAUAUUAUAGUUAAUGUAGAAUAAUUAUUAUAAAUUUUAAAUUUGAAGUGAAAUGUUAAACGAUUUUUAAGAUAUCUAGUUUUUUAAUAUAAAAAUUUAAUUUUUUUAUAAAUUAGAUUAUUAAUAAUUAAAGAUUUUUAAUUGUUUUAUAAAGAAGAAUUUAUGGGAUUAUCUAUAAAUUUAAAUUAAAUGAUAAAUUUAAAAUUUAAAAUUUAGAAAUUAAAAUUUUUAAAAUUUAAAAGUUUUUAAUAAUUUAUUAUUUAAAGGGUAAUUUGAUUUUUAAGGUUAUUAAUUUAUUAUUAAAAUAAAUUUAUAAAUUUUUUAUAAAUUAAAAUAAUGAUAAUAUUAGUAUAAAUAAAUUGUUAAAUUAAUUAAAUUAUAAAAUUAAUUUAAGGAAUUAAGCAAAUUUUAAAAUUCACUUGUUUAUCAAAAACAUGUUUUUUUGAAAUUAAUAAAAAAUUUUCUCUGCCCAAUGAUAAAUUAAAUGGCCGCGGUAUUUUGACUGUGCAAAGGUAGCAUAAUAAAUAGUUUUUUAAUUGAAGACUAGAAUGAAUGAGAGGAUGAAAUUUUAACUGUCUCAAUUUAAUUAUAAAAUUUUAUUUUAAGUUAAAAUUCUUAAAUAAAUUUAAGGGACGAGAAGACCCUAUAGAAUUUAAAAAUUAAAUUUAAUUUUAGAGUUAAUAUUAUAUUGAAAUUAUUUAAAGAUUUUUUUAUUGGGAUGAUAUUUAAAUUUAAAUAACUUAAAAUUAUUAAAUUCAAUGAUUAAUGAAUUUAAGAAUAAAUUUAAUAAAUAAAAGAUAAAAUUACCUUAGGGAUAACAGCGUAAUAAAUUUUUAAAGUUCAAAUUAAAAAAUUUGAUUGCGACCUCGAUGUUGAAUUAAAAUAAAAUUUAAGUGGAGAAGC